This 433-nucleotide ribosomal RNA is filed under the name uncultured bacterium. Its description in RNAcentral is "partial 16S ribosomal RNA". It matches the Rfam family "Bacterial small subunit ribosomal RNA", at positions 29 to 507 of the family's 1533-position model. The record is from RNAcentral.
AACGAACGCUGGCGGCAUGCCUAACACAUGCAAGUCGAACGAGACCUUCGGGUCUAGUGGCGCACGGGUGCGUAACGCGUGGGAACCUGCCCUUAGGUUCGGAAUAACUCCCCGAAAGGGGUGCUAAUACCGGAUAAUGUCUUCGGACCAAAGAUUUAUCGCCUUUGGAUGGGCCCGCGUUGGAUUAGCUAGUUGGUAGGGUAAAAGCCUACCAAGGCGACGAUCCAUAGCUGGUCUGAGAGGAUGAUCAGCCACACUGGGACUGAGACACGGCCCAGACUCCUACGGGAAGCAGCAGUGGGGAAUAUUGGACAAUGGGGGAAAGCCUGAUCAAGCAAUGCCGCGUGAGUGAUGAAGGCCUUAGGGUUGUAAAGCUCUUUUACCCGGGAUGAGAAUGACAGUACCGGGAGAAUAAGCUCCGGCUAACUCCGUG